GACGAACGCUGGCGGCGUGCUUAACACAUGCCAGUCGAACGAUGAAGCGGGUGCUUGCACUCGUGGAUUAGUGGCGAACGGGCGAGUAACACGUGAGUAACCUGUCCUUUUCUUUGGGAUAACGGCUGGAAACGGCUGCUAAUACUGGAUAUUCAGGCUGCAUCGCAUGGUGUGGUUUGGAAAGGUUUUUUCUGGGAUUGGGUGGGCUCGCGGCCUAUCAGCUUGUUGGUGGGGUGAUGGCUUACCAAGGCUUUGACGGGUAGCCGGCCUGAGAGGGUGGUCGGUCGCACUGGGACUGAGAUACGGCCCAGACUCCUACGGGAGGCAGCAGUGGGGAAUAUUGCACAAUGGACGAAAGUGUGAUGCAGCGACGCCGCGUGGAGGGUGUAGGCCUUCGGGUUGUGAACUCCUUUGUCUCGCGAAAAAGGCACAGUUUUGGCUGUGUUGAUGGUAGUGGGGGAAGAAGCGCCGGCUAACUACGUG
RNAcentral lists this ribosomal RNA (483 nucleotides) under uncultured bacterium. RNAcentral describes it as "partial 16S ribosomal RNA". It matches the Rfam family "Bacterial small subunit ribosomal RNA", at positions 28 to 507 of the family's 1533-position model. The record is from RNAcentral.